GGGUUUAGUGGCGCACGGGUGCGUAACGCGUGGGAAUCUGCCCCUUGGUUCGGAAUAACAGUUGGAAACGACUGCUAAUACCGGAUGAUGACGUAAGUCCAAAGAUUUAUCGCCGAGGGAUGAGCCCGCGUAGGAUUAGGUAGUUGGUGUGGUAAAGGCGCACCAAGCCGACGAUCCUUAGCUGGUCUGAGAGGAUGAUCAGCCACACUGGGACUGAGACACGGCCCAGACUCCUACGGGAGGCAGCAGUGGGGAAUAUUGGACAAUGGGCGAAAGCCUGAUCCAGCAAUGCCGCGUGAGUGAUGAAGGCCUUAGGGUUGUAAAGCUCUUUUACCCGGGAUGAUAAUGACAGUACCGGGAGAGUAAGCUCCGGCUAACUCCGUGCCAGCAGCCGCGGUAAUACGGAGGGAGCUAGCGUUAUUCGGAAUUACUGGGCGUAAAGCGCACGUAGGCGGCUUUGUAAGUAAGAGGUGAAAGCCCAGAGCUCAACUCUGGAAUUGCCUUUUAGACUGCAUCGCUUGAAUCAUG
This 528-nucleotide ribosomal RNA is filed under the name uncultured Sphingomonas sp. RNAcentral's name for it is "bacterial SSU rRNA". It matches the Rfam family "Bacterial small subunit ribosomal RNA", at positions 88 to 651 of the family's 1533-position model. The record is from RNAcentral. Lineage: Bacteria; Pseudomonadati; Pseudomonadota; Alphaproteobacteria; Sphingomonadales; Sphingomonadaceae.